AUGCUAAAUCGAAGACGGGAGCGUCAAGAAUUGCCGCCGCUACGCAUACACUCAACCUCACGAUCUGCGCAUGUCCCCGCUGCGUCAGCAAGCGGAAAUUCCAAGAACGAUCAGGCGCCUAGGACCCCUGCCAGCGUAUUGCAUGGGGGCAUGAGGGGCAAUGAGAGCGUCCUCGUUCUGCCUCCUGUGAACAUCAUCACUAUUGCUGAUGUACAGUUUAUAUUUACAUAUAUUUUACACUAUGCAUAUACAGCAAUUCACGUUUACAGGACGUAAACGUUACAGUGUUUCAACCACAAAAUGAAUUAUAUUCUAGCUUAUUUUAAAUGAUAUCCUCAUUAGAUAGUAGAAUUAAAAUUCUGUGUGGAGUUUUUAAUUAGUAGUACAUACACUGUACUUUAAGAAUCUACGGAGACAUUAUCUUACCAUAAUGGCACGCAAUGGUUUAUUUCUUAAUGACUUACAACAAUCGCUACUCAUUAACAAGUGUAUCCACGUAGAUCAGGAGUCGGAAUUAACCUGCCUACGCCCGCGACAGAGCAUUUUCGGAGACUGGUCUGAAAUAUGCUGCAGAGUUAUGGAGGAAGGACCGAAGUGGAUUGCCGACACUGCCAUUGAAAUCCAUUGCCAUCAUCCAAUCAGUCUUUGAAAAUGCUCUGUCGCGGUCAGGUUAAUUUCGAACUUUGAUGUAGAUAAUUACUUUUAUUUAUUUAAUAAUUGGAGGAUUUGGAACCAUUGUCGAAAAUACGUGGAAUUUAAUUGAAAAAAAUUGAAAAUUUUGAUAUUCUUACGCGACAUUGGUAGAACUAGAAUUUAGAGAUAAUCAGAUUAUUGUCAUGGAAAACCAAAAGGUGCUUUUGUAAAGCUAGAACAUGUAGUUUGUAGAAUACAAUAUAUUGCUCAAAAUAAUUAGAAAAUAUUAUAUAAAAGAUAUGCGAUAACGAAAUAUAAAUGCGUGUAAAUGUUUCAAUUGCCUAAAUUUGUUUGUACAUGUUUACGCUAAUAGGAUUCGUUUACAUAUGUUGUAAAAUAUGUAAUUGGAAUUGCUUAUCGUUACACAUAUUCGUGAAAGAAAAAUAUCCUCUAACUGUUCUGAGCAUCGUAACUUCAUCUUGUAAAAAAUGAAGUAAUAAGAAAUAGUUAAUUAGCA
Long non-coding RNA from Megalopta genalis, 1150 nucleotides. RefSeq lists it as uncharacterized. The record is from RefSeq and is a predicted model, not a curated record. NCBI's taxonomy places the organism in Eukaryota, Metazoa, Arthropoda, Insecta, Hymenoptera, Halictidae.